Molecule: long non-coding RNA, 4338 nt
Organism: Hipposideros armiger (great roundleaf bat)
Lineage: Eukaryota; Metazoa; Chordata; Mammalia; Chiroptera; Hipposideridae
Exons: 3
Source: RefSeq, a predicted model, not a curated record
GCCUGUUGCGUUCAAGUUAUGACCUGGCCUUGUUUUCACAGCACCACUAAGAUGCCAGGAAAGAGGUUAGCGUGGAGCAGAGACAGAAGCAGGAGCCGUGUUGGGCCAGGUGAGCCACACAGUGUAACGUAGGAGCUCGACUCCUGGCAGGUUCUUGGAUUCCAUGGGGCCAAAAAAAGACAAUGGAGCCACAGGAUGCCACUUGGCAGAGUAAACACAGCUUUCUGUUGGUCCUUUGAGGAGAUGCCGAGCAGAGGGGUAAGAGCUGGGGCAGGGAUCAGGCCCCGAGGUGGGCUCCGAGGAGGAGAUUCAGAGAUUCAGGGGCUCAGUUCCAUUUCUCCGGGAGUCCCAGCCCCACCUCGGGAGCCUGGUCUAGACUGACACUCCUUAAGAUGUCAUAAUUACGGUCGUAGUUGAUGGAGCCUCUGCAAAGGCUGGACCUCUCACAUACAUCGCAUCAUGUAAUCCCCAAGACCACCGGAAGAGCUAGGUGCCCUUAUCUCUGCUUCCAAAUUAGGGAAGGGAGAUGCAAAGAGGUGAAAUCGCACAUUUGGGUCACCCAGCUAGUGGGUGGUAGAAUGGGGACCAAAGCAUGAUCUGUCUGAUAUCAGACCUGCUGGAUUUUCUACUUUCCCUUAUAAAAGACAAGGCUGUCAAUUUGUUGAGUAUCUACUAUGUGCCAGGCACUAUGAUGGACACUAUUUCUAUCUCUAAUCUGAAAGUGCCAUUUCCUAGAAUGCCUUUCCUAUGCCAUUAACAUCAGAAGAGUGAGAUGAUAGUACAGUCCAGUAACUGGGGGAGGAAACAUAGGCAUGAAUCCCAGAGAUAAAAACAGGAUGAGCCUCAAGUUGCUUCUUGUAAUGCAAACGGCAUCCUCAUCAGAUGUCCACCAGGUCCUGUUGCCUCCACCUCCAAACAAACCCUGACCCUAGCUUGCCUCCCACUGCCCCUGCUCCCAGCCUAGUCCAGGCCAUCAUCAUUGGCUCAUCUGGGCUGGCCUCUGGCCUCUGAUUCCUUUUGUCUCACCAAAAGACUAUCUCCUCACAGCAGCCAGAGGGUUUGUUAAAAUGUAAACCCCAUCCCUCCUUGGCUGUAACUCUGUAUUAGCCAUGUCUUUGUAGUUUCUGUAUUUCGAUGCUUUGACAAGGUGGGGUGGGGCAGGGCUUGCUGACUCUGGAGGGACUCCCCCUCCCAGGGCUAGCCAAUACCUCGAGAUUGAGAGCAAGCAACUCACCCUUGAACUUGCCUUUUAGAUGCAAGCCAAUCAAUCCAGAGCCCAUACCCAUAGCUACCACCUGUACUGGACUCUCACACUUGGGGACUACCCCUCUGCCCUAUUCACCCCAGGACCAGGUACCAGACAACUGGGUACAGCCCCUAUGCCUCAGGUGCUUCCCCUGGAGCAUGGCUUGCCCCUCCUUUUGGGAUCUGUAAAUACAGCAAAUUGUUUUUUCAAUGGCAGUUGUCUUCUGCUCUGUGGUCUGAAAUAAUAAUAAUAAAUUAUAAUAAAACUGAAAUAAUAAUAAAACCUAUAUUUUAAAACAAACUCCCCAGUGGCUCCCAUCACACAGGAUAAAAUCCAGGCUCCUUUCCACGGCCCAGAAGGCCCUCCAUGACCUGGCGCCUGCCUGCCCCCCAGACCUUGUCUCCUGUCUCCAUUCCCGGCUCACUGUGCUCCAAGCCCACUGCCUUCUUUCUAUUCCUCAGACCCAGCAAAGGGGUUCCCACCGUAGGACCUUUCCCCGGGCUGUUCCCUCUGCAUGGAACAUUCUUCUCCCAGAACCCAGCAUGGGUGGCUCCUUAUUGACAUCUAGGGCUCAGUUUAUAAGUAGCCUUCUCAGAGAGGCCUUCUCUGAACACUCGCCAUCAAGGGAUAAUAAUAGCUAGCAUGUUUUCCAUGUGUCAGGCACCCUUUUAUGUACUUUCCAUGUAUUCACUCUUUGAAUCCUCAAAACAACCCUAUAAGAUAGGUAUUAUUAUUAUUAUUUCCAUUUUGCAAGUGAGGAAACAGAGGCUCAAAGAGGGUAAGUGACCAGAGUCUCACGGCUAACAGGCAGGAGAGCCGGGACUCAAACCCAGCAGCCCAUUUCAAACCCACACUGGGAAUCACUGCACCUUAUCUCCUGGCGCAGAGUAAGUUUAAAAUAACUAUUAGCUAUUAUUUUUUUAUUAUUAUGGUUUUUAACAGAGGCUGAAUUCCACCCUCCUAUUUUCUUGAAUGACAUACGAAUUCCUUUGCCACAAUCCCUCCUGCCCCCUAUUGUCUUACACCAGUUUACCUGACUUGCUUGGACCCUGAAGGCAUUCGUGUUUGCAACCCCUGCUCUGGGUGCCUGUUACUCAUUCACUAAUUCUUUUAACCAACACUCACUGUGCCAGGCGCCCUAGUAGGCCCACAGAGACAAAUAAGAUGGCAUCCGUGCCCUCAAGGAGUCCGUGGCCAUGUCGGGAGGCUGACCUGCACACAGGUUGUUCCAAGGCACUGUUAUGUGUGCCGUCGUGGAAACGUCCAUGAGUGUUAGGGAUUCAGCUAGGAAGGAUUUCCCGGAGAAAGUGCCAUCUCUGCUGGGUUUGGAAGACUGGACGGGAAGCAGACAGGAAAGAUGCAGCACAAGCAAGCGGAAACGGCACAAGCAAGCGGAAACGGCACAAGCAAGCGGAAACGGCACAAGCAAACGGAAACGGCACAAGCAAGCGCAUACAAGUGGCUGAGUGCGCGCCUGUCUAGGGACGACUGGUCACUUCGGAUGAGAAAGAGGAGUGAAUCUGACUGGCCGAAGGAAAUUGAUCCAGAUCUGGGCUUCUGAUAAGAACUGCAACCUUUAUUGUGGAGGCUGAGAGCAGUCCUAGAAGGAUUUUAAGUAGGGAUUCACAGGGCAUUGUCAGUAGGGUUCCACGCCCACCCCACCCCCAUUUUCCCAAACCUGUUGAGAACUUGGUCUCUUCCAAGCCAGCUCAUGUUCUUUAGGCUGGGGAGCCUUUUCCAGGCAUUUGAUGGGAUUGAUGACAAGGCUGGGAGCCAGGAAAAAAAGAUUAAGAGUGGGAAUUCAGGCCUUCCUUGGCCUCUGGGCUGCCCUGAGCUGGCCUAGUCUCCAAGAAUCAUUUUUGAUGAGAGAUUCUGGGAAGCAGGCCAUUGCCAAGGCCAAGUAAGCUCCUGAAGAAAUGGGAAGGAGCCCUAAAGUAGAAAGAGUAAUAAUGUCCUCACCAGUUUUCCCCUCCUAGGUGGGCGUGGUCAAGAUGUCCGGCCCCUCCCUUUGCAGGACGCUCCCUCAGCCUGGCCUCCUUCCUCUGUGCUCUGUAGGUAGUUCCUCGUCCUCCAAGAUGGGGCUCUGGCAACCUCCGUGGGCGAUGUGCCUUCAGUUGUAAAGUUAGGUCUGACGGAGGGGGAAUGUGGGAGCAGGCUGAGAGACCCCAAUUUCUAUCCUUUCCCUCCAGCCAGGCAUCAAGGUGUGACAGCAGACAGGUAGAUGUGGGUUUUGAUCCUGCUUUUGCCAGUCAUUAACUCUAAUACCUUGGGCUAGUCACCUGGUCUCUGAACCUCGGUUUCCUGACCUGCAAACUGGGAAUGACACUACCGAUGUCUCAAAAUCAUUGUGCCAACUGAAUGAGAUCAGGUAUCCCAAGUACAUGGCACAAACAUGAUUCUUGCCAGUGCCGGACACUGGUGGCUAGAGUUCCUCAGGUGGAGGGUGGCAGGGAGGGAGUGAAGGUGACACUGAUGGACCACAAUGGACUCAAGCACCUGUGUUGCCAGAGGAGACAGCACUUGCAAAGGCAUGGAGCGUGACAGGGCAUGGCAGGAUUGAAAAUGUUAAGUAACAAUAAUUGAGAAAGACAGUUACUAUUCUUGACCUUUAUUAAGCAUAUACUUUACCUGUUAGUAGGAUGCUAAAAGAGGAUUCAUCUGGACUCCAGCUGGGUCUCAAUGCUGAAAACAGUAGGUGCGUGUACAGAUGUAGAUGUGAACAAAAACCAUCUCCAUCUUUGUGUCUGAUCAUGCUAUGACCUUUGACCAACCUCACCAUCCUUAGUAAGCAUAGCAAAACCUUCUAGUUAAUGAUUAUCUGUGUUCCCUAAAAUGUAACCAUAAAUACUUUUGUUAGUAAUGGCCAGGACAACUGAGAUGAAUAUUCAACUGGAGAUAGUAUUGACCACCAGGAGGUAUGGCUCCUGGCACCACUACAUGCUUUGUUCCUUUUUGUCUUGUCAAUCAUUAGUAUCUGAGUUAUAUUACAAAAACAGUAUGAUAACAGGAGUCUGUAGUGGAGAAAAUUUGUGCAGAACUGCUGGGUGCUUUGUCUGCUUCGUCUGCUCCUGUCCAAUCUUCCUGUAAGGAAA